This 339-nucleotide unclassified non-coding RNA is filed under the name Hevea brasiliensis (rubber tree). The record is from RNAcentral. Lineage: Eukaryota; Viridiplantae; Streptophyta; Magnoliopsida; Malpighiales; Euphorbiaceae.
ACUGAAUCAUAAUAUACUAGAUUGUGAACGUUAUCCUUGCUGUAGCGUUUGAAGACAUUGCUUUUUAUUUCCGCAAAAUUGUUUGAUACAAGCAAAGCAAAUAAUGCAUUGUUGUGGGCAACUAUACAGGUUGACAAAGUGAUGGCUUGAGCUAGCAGGAUGAAAGAAUGAACAAUUGAUGAAGCAACAGCUACAACUUCAUCCACAAUAAAUCUUCUAACCCAAUAUUGCGUAUUUUCCGUUGAGCUAUUUGCAAGCCCUUCUGCUGUAUUAAAGAGUGUCUGCAUCACAUCUCCACCAAAGCUUUGGAACAGUUUAUCAAAAACCUCCAACACAUUG